AUUCCAGCUCCAAUAGCGUAUAUUAAAGUUGUUGCAGUUAAAACGCUCGUAGUCGGAUUUCGGGGCGGGCCGACCGGUCUGCCGAUGGGUAUGCACUGGCCGGCGCGUCCUUCCACCCGGAGACCGCGCCUACUCUUAACUGAGCGGGCGCGGGAGACGGGUCUUUUACUUUGAAAAAAUCAGAGUGUUUCAAGCAGGCAGUCGCUCUUGCAUGGAUUAGCAUGGGAUAAUGAAAUAGGACUCUGGUGCUAUUUUGUUGGUUUCGAACACCGGAGUAAUGAUUAACAGGGACAGUUGGGGGCAUUAGUAUUUAAUUGUCAGAGGUGAAAUUCUUGGAUUUAUUAAAGACUAACUUAUGCGAAAGCAUUUGCCAAGGAUGUUUUCAUCG
This 388-nucleotide ribosomal RNA is filed under the name Gephyrocapsa cf. muellerae. RNAcentral's name for it is "partial small subunit ribosomal RNA". It matches the Rfam family "Eukaryotic small subunit ribosomal RNA", at positions 582 to 975 of the family's 1831-position model. Lineage: Eukaryota; Haptophyta; Isochrysidales; Noelaerhabdaceae. The record is from RNAcentral.